This 254-nucleotide ribosomal RNA is filed under the name uncultured bacterium. RNAcentral's name for it is "partial 16S ribosomal RNA". It matches the Rfam family "Bacterial small subunit ribosomal RNA", at positions 524 to 776 of the family's 1533-position model. The record is from RNAcentral.
UACGUAGGAGACGAGCGUUGUCCGGAAUUACUGGGCGUAAAGCGCGUGUAGGCGGAUGGGCAAGUCUGCUGUGAAAGCUCCUGGCUUAACCGGGAGUGGUCGGUGGAAACUGCCAAUCUGGAGGACGGUAGAGGUAGGUAGAAUUCCCGGUGUAGUGGUGAAAUGCGUAGAGAUCGGGAGGAAUACCUGUGGCGAAGGCGGCCUACUGGGCCGGACCUGACGCUGAGACGCGGAAGGCGUGGGGAGCGAACAGG